Long non-coding RNA from Balaenoptera ricei (Rice's whale), 1140 nucleotides. RefSeq lists it as uncharacterized. The record is from RefSeq and is a predicted model, not a curated record. NCBI's taxonomy places the organism in Eukaryota, Metazoa, Chordata, Mammalia, Artiodactyla, Balaenopteridae. The transcript has 5 exons.
GGAAGGCCAGGGAUGGAGUGUUUAAACCUCCCGCUCCGCGUCCUUUCUCCGCUCCGCCUCAGUCUCCGCCAGGGAGGGCCACCCUGAGUCUGCGCGGUUUGAGAUUAAAAAUGGUGUCUGCCUCAUAAAGUGGUUGUGAGGAUUAAAUGAGGACACUUGUAAAUUGCUUGAUAUGGUGCCAGGACAGAAUAAAUGUUCAAUAAAAAAUGUUUCAGAGAAGUUAAGUACCUUGCUGAAAGAUAAACAGCAGAAAUUGCCACGGCUACCCCAACCUUCAGCAACUACCACCCUGACCAGUCAGCAGCCAUCAACAUCAAGGCAAAACCCUCCAUCAGCAAGAAGAUUAUGACCUGCUAAAGGCUCAGCUCACAGGGAAACAUUCUGACCGUGCCCACCUGUGAACAGCUGCAAGAAAGAAGAAAAUACAUCCCCUCCCUGAGGCUGGCCAAACCAGGAGAUGUUUUGCAAGACUUAUGGCCUUUUUAUUUUACUUCCUCACCUCCUCCCCCUCUCUGUUCUAUAAAAGAAACUAGCAUCCAGACCCUGAUAAAUGGUAUUCUAGGACAUUAGUCCGCGAUCUUCUUGGAUGCUUGGCUUUCUGAAUAAAGUCCCUAUUCCUUGCCUCGACAUCUCAUCUCCCCAUUUAUUGGCUUGUCAUGUGGCGAGCAGAGCGAGCUUGGACUCAGUAACAAAUUUGGCUUAGCCAGCCAGGAGUCUUGCUGUUCAUGGCUAACUGGCCCCGAUCAGGCAAUUUUGGGGCAAGGCCCUAGCAGCUGCUGGGACAAUUUGUUUUAAGGAUCUUUCCUUCAAAAAAUUCCUUGAAGUGACACUGGCUACCCCAGAGCUCGGCAUUUGGAGCAAGGAAUCAACAAACUUCUGCAAGUCGACAGACUCAAUCUUUAUAGGCUCACAGGGAAACACCCUGACCCUGCCCACCUGUGACUGGCUGCAGAAAAGAAGAAAUUAUCACAUCUCCUCCCUGAGGCUGGCCAAAACCAGGAGAUAUUUUGCAAGACUUAUGGCCUUUUUAUUUUACUUCCUCACCUCCUCCCCCUGUCUGUUCUAUAAAAGAAAGUAGCAACCAGACCCCGAUAAGAUGGUACUCUAGGACGCUAGUCCGCCAUCUUCUCGGAUGCCCGG